This 236-nucleotide unclassified non-coding RNA is filed under the name plant metagenome. RNAcentral describes it as "partial contains small subunit ribosomal RNA, internal transcribed spacer 1, and 5.8S ribosomal RNA". The record is from RNAcentral.
UUUCCGUAGGUGAACCUGCGGAAGGAUCAUUACUGAGUGAGGGCCCCUCGGGGUCCAACCUCCCACCCGUGUUUAACGAACCUUGUUGCUUCGGCGGGCCCGCCUCACGGCCGCCGGGGGGCAGCUGCCCCCGGGCCCGCGCCCGCCGAAGCCACCUGUGAACGCUGUGUGAAGUAUGCAGUCUGAGACAAUUAUUAAAUUAAUUAAAACUUUCAACAACGGAUCUCUUGGUUCCG